Long non-coding RNA from Oreochromis aureus, 2893 nucleotides. NCBI's taxonomy places the organism in Eukaryota, Metazoa, Chordata, Actinopteri, Cichliformes, Cichlidae. The record is from Ensembl.
CGCGUGUAUGUGUGAAUGCGCACACGUCUACGUGUGAGAGCGCGGGUCAAUAAGUUAGCGAUCAGGAAUGAGAGAGAACAGGAGCUACCGUAAAGGCUAAUGUAGAAACGCAAGAAAAUGUAUGCGGCGUAUAAUGCUGGGCAUACACUGUGCGAUUUUGGCCCAUUUUGAGCCCAUUUUUCAGUCAGUCAGACCGUUUUGGUGAUCGGCCCGAGUUUCGCCUUCAUCGUGUGUCGUGCAACGUGUAGUAUACAUCGGGUAACGAGAAGCGAUUAACAAACCAGCUCCCGAUCAUCAAUCGUUUGGUCGUAAGAAAAUCAAACCUGUUUGAAAUGAAGUCGGCCGUCAUGAGGGUGUCAACGCAGCCUCCCACACUGAAAUGAAAGUGAAAAGAUGGAGCAGCACGGCAGUGCAGCGUGUGAUCUGGACACAAGCGAUGGAGGCACAACAUGUAGAACUUUGGCAAGCUCAUCUGAGCCUUUUCGAUGUGGCCUCACAAAAUUAUCACGACACAACAACCGUGAAAAUAGUUGGAUUGUCACUGCUGCUCAAUCACAGCUGCCUGGUCAAUGUUUUUCAUUAGCAAUUUAGCAAAGUUGAUGGUGGUGGUGUGCGUGUCAGUUAAAGACGGAGAAGGAGAGCGAGAGACAGAUUUUGUGUUAUAACCUUCAUGUUAGGGAUGCACAGUGUGAGCACUCAGGUCGCAGACCCUGCAUCGUGACCUACGAACUUCUAACCCCUGCGAGUCAAUCGUACAGUUUGAGCAGGAGCUGAAAAACGCGACUGAAAAAAUCGCACAGUGUAUGCCCAGCUUAAGAGGCGGCUGACUUGACCACGGUGUAAAAACUGCCGUCCUUACCGGAAGUCACUGUCUGAGUAAACACCAUAACAGCCGGGAGUUUCUGUUAUAGUAAGUGAAAAGUUAAGUUUCAUAUUCAUUUUCCGGGACAUCAACUGCUGUCUAUGGCGGCAAAAGAGACCAUACUAUCAGGACCAGUGUCAUAAACUAAACCUGAACUGAAUCUGCGUAGUCGUGGGCAAAUAUUUUUCUUCCCUUGUGCUGACCAGAGUUUGUUUAGGAAGGAGAUAUCUAAUUUUGAAAAAUAAAAAAUGGAGAGAAAAAGUCUGCUUCCAGGAUUUCCACUGGAAAAUUAUGAGAAAGACAAAAAGGAAGAAAAAAGAAUUAGCCUGAAGAAAAGAAAGAGAGUCACGGAUGAUGAAGAUGAGAACAACUUGUGGCGUGUAAAAUGUGGAACCAAAAGGGGCAUCCUAGAUGUAGAGAAGUUGAAAAAAGGUGAGGCAUGUAUUGAGUAUAAAGGCUGCUUGUACAGUCCACCUGAGUUUGAGAAGCUUGCAGGAAAAGAGCCAUGUAGAAAAUGGAAGUCAACUAUUUUCUACAAUGAACUACCUCUGCAGUUUUGGUUUGAGGAAGGCUAUCUAACCACUACAGGAUAUAGACCAAAGAAAAAAAAACGAAAAUCAUGCGACUCAACAGAAGAAAGUGAGGAAGAUCAUGUUGACGAUGAAGAUGAGGAUGAAGAACGGGAAGAUGAGCAUAUGGAUGAAGAGGAUGUUGGUGGUGAUGAGUCUAGCAGUGAGGAUGAUGAGGAUGAAGAAAGUGAUAAUGAUGAAGACGAGACUGCGCCUGCUGUUGCCUCUAACCAUACUGACAGCAGUGAUAUCAAAGAGAGAGUAACAGCUACAAUUCCAACACCUGGAAAACAUGCAUUAGAGAUGAAAGAAGUAAAGGGUAUCAUUAACAUCCUUCCUGAGAAGACUAGACAUCAUCCUGACAUGCCAAGAUCUGAAGUCACUGAAAAUCCCAGAGAUGUGGCAAAAAACACAGCAAUCAAACAGCAAAAUGUUAAGAAACAACCUGAAGAGAAACUGCGUCCUUCCUGUGAAGCUCUGCCCGUGUCAGAUGAGUGUGAACAUAAAGAUGUCCCCUGCUCUGGCCACAGUGUAGCUGAAGUACAAUCCAUGAUGCCAGAGAUGAGUGUGGACAUGUCAGAGGCCCGGUUGCCUGGGCCCUCAGCCAGCUCUGGCUUGAAUACAAUGGAUCUUGAUCAACUGAAGAGGAAAAAAAUAAAAAUGCAACUGAAGGUUUUAAAAUUACAAGAAGAGUAUUACACUUUGAAAAUAAAAGAACUGAAAAAAUGAGGAUUAAUGUAAAGCUGACAUUGCAGACAAUAAAUUAAAAGAUCGCUGUUUACAUCCACAAACUGACACACGUUAUCUGGAGGUUUCUUGGGUGGAAUGUUACUUUUGACAAAAGCUACAAAAUCAAGUGUGCUGCAUUUAUACACCGUACUUUGUCGUUGCUGUACUCAGGUUUCCUUUAGUAUUGUUGAUUACCAUGUUUUACUUUGUUAUUAGAAUUAAACAAAUAGCUGAUAUUUCCUUCCUGUAAAAUGUGAAUAAACAAUAUUGAUGCUUUUUAUCUGUAAAUUUUGCAAGUGUUAUGAAACUGUGUUUCCUUUGGACUUUGCCCAACCUGUAGUAAUAGUUGUAAGAAGUAGCCUUUAAACAGCAUCGUGCAAUGUCUUGAGCCACAGCUCAUUUCUUUAUGUUUUGCUUCCAAGGAGCAAGAACUUUUAGAAAUUUGCAAGAAAAUAACAAUAUGUGCUCUUUUACUUUGAAGCAUUGUUAGUAAUACAUCAAUCAUAUCUGUGACAGAUGAGCAUAACUGUUUAAAUUCCAAAGAAAUUAGACCCCCCCAAAAAAUUCAUGUAAAUUUGUCCAACCAUAAUGAGAAAAUAUGAAAUGAAUAAAGGAGAGUUACAGUGAUGUGCAAAAGUCUUGAGCCAGGACACGUCAUGCAGAGAUAUGUUAAGUGUCCAGCUAAUAGAUCUUUGGGCAUCAGUUGGUUCCACAAUAAAAAAAAUUCUGCCUA